RNAcentral lists this ribosomal RNA (497 nucleotides) under uncultured bacterium. RNAcentral's name for it is "partial 16S ribosomal RNA". It matches the Rfam family "Bacterial small subunit ribosomal RNA", at positions 28 to 507 of the family's 1533-position model. The record is from RNAcentral.
GAUGAACGCUGGCGGCGUGCCUAAUACAUGCAGGUCGAGCGAACAGAUGAGGAGCUUGCUCCUCUGACGUUAGCGGCGGACGGGUGAGUAACACGUGGAUAACCUACCUAUAAGACUGGGAUAACUUCGGGAAACCGGAGCUAAUACCGGAUAAUAUAUUGAACCGCAUGGUUCAAUAGUGAAAGACGGUUUUGCUGUCACUUAUAGAUGGAUCCGCGCCGCAUUAGCUAGUUGGUAAGGUAACGGCUUACCAAGGCAGCGAUGCGUAGCCGACCUGAGAGGGUGAUCGGCCACACUGGAACUGAGACACGGUCCAGACUCCUACGGGAGGCAGCAGUAGGGAAUCUUCCGCAAUGGGCGAAAGCCUGACGGAGCAACGCCGCGUGAGUGAUGAAGGUCUUCGGAUCGUAAAACUCUGUUAUUAGGGAAGAACAAAUGUGUAAGUAACUAUGCACGUCUUGACGGUACCUAAUCAGAAAGCCACGGCUAACUACGUG